RNAcentral lists this ribosomal RNA (425 nucleotides) under uncultured bacterium. RNAcentral describes it as "partial 16S ribosomal RNA". It matches the Rfam family "Bacterial small subunit ribosomal RNA", at positions 354 to 796 of the family's 1533-position model. The record is from RNAcentral.
GUUAGGAAUAUUGGACAAUGGGCGAAAGCCUGAUCCAGCCAUGCCGCGUGAACGAUGAAGGCCUUCGGGUUGUAAAGUUCUUUAGCCGAUGAUUAUAAUGACUGUAGUCGGAAAAUAAGCCCCGGCUAACUUCGUGCCAGCAGCCGCGGUAAUACGAAGGGGGCGAGCGUUAUUCGGAAUCACUGGGCGUAAAGCGUGCGUAGGCGGUUUUGUAAGUUAGGAGUGAAAGCCCAGGGCUCAACCUUGGAAUUGCGCUUAAAACUGCAAGGCUAGAAUCUCGGAGAGGAUAGCGGAAUUUCCAGUGUAGCAGUGAAAUGCGUAGAUAUUGGAAGGAACACCAGUGGCGUAAGCGGCUAUCUGGACGAGUAUUGACGCUGAGGCACGAAAGCGUGGGGAUCAAACAGGAUUAGAAACCCUUGUAGUCC